RNAcentral lists this transfer RNA (58 nucleotides) under Cricetulus griseus (Chinese hamster). It matches the Rfam family "tRNA", at positions 8 to 63 of the family's 71-position model. Rfam says of the family: Transfer RNA (tRNA) molecules are approximately 80 nucleotides in length. Their secondary structure includes four short double-helical elements and three loops (D, anti-codon, and T loops). Lineage: Eukaryota; Metazoa; Chordata; Mammalia; Rodentia; Cricetidae. The record is from Rfam by way of RNAcentral.
UGGCUCAGUGGUUAAAGCACUUGCCUUGCAAGCAUAAGGACUGGGGUUUGGAUCCCCA